This 679-nucleotide ribosomal RNA is filed under the name Lentilactobacillus kefiri. RNAcentral's name for it is "bacterial SSU rRNA". It matches the Rfam family "Bacterial small subunit ribosomal RNA", at positions 89 to 753 of the family's 1533-position model. The record is from RNAcentral. Lineage: Bacteria; Bacillati; Bacillota; Bacilli; Lactobacillales; Lactobacillaceae.
AAACGAGUGGCGAACUGGUGAGUAACACGUGGGUAACCUGCCCUUGAAGUAGGGGAUAACACUUGGAAACAGGUGCUAAUACCGUAUAACAACCAAAACCACAUGGUUUUGGUUUAAAAGAUGGCUUCGGCUAUCACUUUAGGAUGGACCCGCGGCGUAUUAGCUUGUUGGUAAGGUAAUGGCCUACCAAGGCAAUGAUACGUAGCCGACCUGAGAGGGUAAUCGGCCACAUUGGGACUGAGACACGGCCCAAACUCCUACGGGAGGCAGCAGUAGGGAAUCUUCCACAAUGGACGAAAGUCUGAUGGAGCAACGCCGCGUGAGUGAUGAAGGGUUUCGGCUCGUAAAACUCUGUUGUUGGAGAAGAACAGGUGUCAGAGUAACUGUUGACAUCUUGACGGUAUCCAACCAGAAAGCCACGGCUAACUACGUGCCAGCAGCCGCGGUAAUACGUAGGUGGCAAGCGUUGUCCGGAUUUAUUGGGCGUAAAGCGAGCGCAGGCGGUUUCUUAGGUCUGAUGUGAAAGCCUUCGGCUUAACCGGAGAAGUGCAUCGGAAACCAGGAGACUUGAGUGCAGAAGAGGACAGUGGAACUCCAUGUGUAGCGGUGAAAUGCGUAGAUAUAUGGAAGAACACCAGUGGCGAAGGCGGCUGUCUGGUCUGUAACUGACGCUGAGGCU